CAGCCGCCACGGUAAUACGGAGGGAGCUAGCGUUGUUCGGAAUCACUGAGCGUAAAGCGCACGUAGGCGGCUAUUCAAGUCAGGGGUGAAAGCCCGGGGCUCAACCCCGGAACUGCCUUUGAAACUAGAUAGCUUGAAUCUUGGAGAGGCGAGUGGAAUUCCGAGUGUAGAGGUGAAAUUCGUAGAUAUUCGGAAGAACACCAGUGGCGAAGGCGACUCGCUGGACAAGUAUUGACGCUGAGGUGCGAAAGCGUGGGGAGCAAACAGGAUUAGAUACCCCAGUAGUCCCUGUCUCUUAUAC
This 301-nucleotide ribosomal RNA is filed under the name uncultured bacterium. RNAcentral's name for it is "partial 16S ribosomal RNA". It matches the Rfam family "Bacterial small subunit ribosomal RNA", at positions 509 to 807 of the family's 1533-position model. The record is from RNAcentral.